RNAcentral lists this ribosomal RNA (1402 nucleotides) under Lactiplantibacillus plantarum. RNAcentral's name for it is "bacterial SSU rRNA". It matches the Rfam family "Bacterial small subunit ribosomal RNA", at positions 70 to 1440 of the family's 1533-position model. Lineage: Bacteria; Bacillati; Bacillota; Bacilli; Lactobacillales; Lactobacillaceae. The record is from RNAcentral.
CUCUGGUAUUGAUUGGUGCUUGCAUCAUGAUUUACAUUUGAGUGAGUGGCGAACUGGUGAGUAACACGUGGGAAACCUGCCCAGAAGCGGGGGAUAACACCUGGAAACAGAUGCUAAUACCGCAUAACAACUUGGACCGCAUGGUCCGAGCUUGAAAGAUGGCUUCGGCUAUCACUUUUGGAUGGUCCCGCGGCGUAUUACUAGAUGGUGGGGUAACGGCUCACCAUGGCAAUGAUACGUAGCCGACCUGAGAGGGUAAUCGGCCACAUUGGGACUGAGACACGGCCCAAACUCCUACGGGAGGCAGCAGUAGGGAAUCUUCCACAAUGGACGAAAGUCUGAUGGAGCAACGCCGCGUGAGUGAAGAAGGGUUUCGGCUCGUAAAACUCUGUUGUUAAAGAAGAACAUAUCUGAGAGUAACUGUUCAGGUAUUGACGGUAUUUAACCAGAAAGCCACGGCUAACUACGUGCCAGCAGCCGCGGUAAUACGUAGGUGGCAAGCGUUGUCCGGAUUUAUUGGGCGUAAAGCGAGCGCAGGCGGUUUUUUAAGUCUGAUGUGAAAGCCUUCGGCUCAACCGAAGAAGUGCAUCGGAAACUGGGAAACUUGAGUGCAGAAGAGGACAGUGGAACUCCAUGUGUAGCGGUGAAAUGCGUAGAUAUAUGGAAGAACACCAGUGGCGAAGGCGGCUGUCUGGUCUGUAACUGACGCUGAGGCUCGAAAGUAUGGGUAGCAAACAGGAUUAGAUACCCUGGUAGUCCAUACCGUAAACGAUGAAUGCUAAGUGUUGGAGGGUUUCCGCCCUUCAGUGCUGCAGCUAACGCAUUAAGCAUUCCGCCUGGGGAGUACGGCCGCAAGGCUGAAACUCAAAGGAAUUGACGGGGGCCCGCACAAGCGGUGGAGCAUGUGGUUUAAUUCGAAGCUACGCGAAGAACCUUACCAGGUCUUGACAUACUAUGCAAAUCUAAGAGAUUAGACGUUCCCUUCGGGGACAUGGAUACAGGUGGUGCAUGGUUGUCGUCAGCUCGUGUCGUGAGAUGUUGGGUUAAGUCCCGCAACGAGCGCAACCCUUAUUAUCAGUUGCCAGCAUUAAGUUGGGCACUCUGGUGAGACUGCCGGUGACAAACCGGAGGAAGGUGGGGAUGACGUCAAAUCAUCAUGCCCCUUAUGACCUGGGCUACACACGUGCUACAAUGGAUGGUACAACGAGUUGCGAACUCGCGAGAGUAAGCUAAUCUCUUAAAGCCAUUCUCAGUUCGGAUUGUAGGCUGCAACUCGCCUACAUGAAGUCGGAAUCGCUAGUAAUCGCGGAUCAGCAUGCCGCGGUGAAUACGUUCCCGGGCCUUGUACACACCGCCCGUCACACCAUGAGAGUUUGUAACACCCAAAGUCGGUGGGGUAACC